GCCUGGGUAGCUCAGUCGGUUAAGCAUCUGACUUUGGCUCAGAUCAUGAUCUCACAGUCUGUGGGUUCGAGCCCCGCAUUGGUCU
This 85-nucleotide transfer RNA is filed under the name Felis catus (domestic cat). It matches the Rfam family "tRNA". Rfam says of the family: Transfer RNA (tRNA) molecules are approximately 80 nucleotides in length. Lineage: Eukaryota; Metazoa; Chordata; Mammalia; Carnivora; Felidae. RNAcentral also lists the same sequence under 2 other names. The record is from Rfam by way of RNAcentral.